GACGAACGCUGGCGGCGUGCUUAACACAUGCAAGUCGAACGGAAAGGCCCUGCUUUUGUGGGGUGCUCGAGUGGCGAACGGGUGAGUAACACGUGAGUAACCUGCCCUUGACUUUGGGAUAACUUCAGGAAACUGGGGCUAAUACCGGAUAGGAGCUCCUGCUGCAUGGUGGGGGUUGGAAAGUUUCGGCGGUUGGGGAUGGACUCGCGGCUUAUCAGCUUGUUGGUGGGGUAGUGGCUUACCAAGGCUUUGACGGGUAGCCGGCCUGAGAGGGUGACCGGCCACAUUGGGACUGAGAUACGGCCCAGACUCCUACGGGAGGCAGCAGUGGGGAAUAUUGCACAGUGGGCGGAAGCCUGAUGCAGCAACGCCGCGUGCGGGAUGACGGCCUUCGGGUUGUAAACCGCUUUCGCCUGUGACGAAGCGUGAGUGGCGGUAAUGGGUAAAGAAGCACCGGCUAACUACGUG
Molecule: ribosomal RNA, 468 nt
Filed under: uncultured bacterium
Lineage: Bacteria
Description: partial 16S ribosomal RNA
Rfam family: Bacterial small subunit ribosomal RNA
Source: RNAcentral